CUGCUCAGUAGAUUAAUAACAGUCAGUAGUUAUGUAUUUCUUUGUUUCAUCUUCAUAUAUGCAUGUUUCUGCUUUACAACUUUAUUUUCUGAUUUCAUUGUUUCAUCUGUCCUUUCCAUGCCUUUCCCUAAAUGGAAAUAGAAAUGCAACAGUCUCCCAACCAGACAUCAAGAACAAGAGAUUCAGGGAAAGUUAUAGAUGACCUGUCCCAAGGAGAUUCACUAAGGUAAGAUUUAAAAAAAAAUAACAUAUUUUAGCAAAUCAGAGAGAGAGAGAGAGCAUGACUUAUUAUUGUCUUAUGUUUUUGUUAUUUAAGAAGUUCUGAAAAAGAUGAAGGGGAUGACAGCUGGCUUACAUCAGAGGAAGAAGAACUAGAUUUUACCCCCAAGAAACCACAGAAGCCAAGUUUGACUCUGCUAAUGAACUCUUCCCAUCAAUUCAAGAAAAACAUAGGUGAGAAAAGUAGCAUUAUGAGAACAGAACAUAUAGCCAUUUCACAGCAAAAUAAAUCAGAUUGUGAAGCUGAAGAUGUCAUUGAAACCCCUCCUAAGCCUUUUUCCCAAGUCAAGUCCUACCCUCGACCUCUCCAUCCCUCACCUGGCUCCUGUUCAAAACCUUCCCAGAUGACUCCUCCUCUCCUGGGGUUUAAACAGGAAGAAUCAUCAGAGGAGGAAGAUGACAUAAAGCAACCACAAAUUUCAAAUGUUAUAGAUAAAAGUUUGAUUUGUAAUGGAAACCGUGAAGCACAGAAUCCCUCAGAAGAUACUGCUAUUAGGAAAGAUACAAUGUCAGUAUUAGGAUUGGACGAGGAGGAGGAUACAGAAUCACCCUGGGAUUCAGAGUGUGCUUCUGAAAGUCCAAGAAAACUACCAGUCAACCUAUUAAUUUCAUCUGCUGUCAGAACUGACACACACAUGCAGAGUAUUUUUGAGGAACCAAAUGAAGGUUUUUGUGAAAAAACUCUUGAGUCACAGCCAAAGACCACUCAAGCAAUUUUAGAAACAAAUGACACCUCUUCUUGUCCUGCAAAGGGAAUCGAGACUGGCAAAAGGCAAAAAUCAGGUAAUAUUCACUACAUCAAAUUUUGGUGAGGGACUGGGCAUCUUCAUUAACAAAUAUUUAUCUUAAACA
RNAcentral lists this long non-coding RNA (1131 nucleotides) under Gopherus agassizii (Agassiz's desert tortoise). Its description in RNAcentral is "lncRNA (ENSGAGG00000018757.1)". The record is from RNAcentral. Lineage: Eukaryota; Metazoa; Chordata; Testudines; Testudinidae.